GUGCCUGCUUCGGCAGCACAUAUCCUAAAAUGGGAACAGUACAGAGGAAAUUAGCAUGGCCCUGCAUAGGGAGGCUGCACACAUUUUUGAAGCAUUCCAUAUUUGC
Molecule: small nuclear RNA, 106 nt
Organism: Callithrix jacchus (white-tufted-ear marmoset)
Lineage: Eukaryota; Metazoa; Chordata; Mammalia; Primates; Cebidae
Source: Ensembl